RNAcentral lists this small RNA (107 nucleotides) under Marmota monax (woodchuck). Lineage: Eukaryota; Metazoa; Chordata; Mammalia; Rodentia; Sciuridae. The record is from RNAcentral.
CCUGGGCAUGGUGGUGCAUACCUGUAAUCCCAGCAACUUGGAAGGCUGAGGGAGGAGGAUGGUAAGUUCAAGGCCAACCUGGGAAACUUCACAAGACCCUGUCUCAA